UCCCUGGUGGUCCAGUGGUUAGGACUCUGCACUAUCGCGGCUGAGGGCCCAGGGUUCAAUCCCUGGUUAGGGAA
Molecule: non-coding RNA, 74 nt
Organism: Physeter macrocephalus (sperm whale)
Lineage: Eukaryota; Metazoa; Chordata; Mammalia; Artiodactyla; Physeteridae
Source: the annotation of a RefSeq genome assembly